This is a non-coding RNA of Xenopus laevis (African clawed frog), 130 nucleotides long. NCBI's taxonomy places the organism in Eukaryota, Metazoa, Chordata, Amphibia, Anura, Pipidae. The record is from Rfam.
AAAGCAGGUUGCAAUUGCAGCUCUUCUUUCUGUGGAAUUGCUGUCAUUAAUCCUGCUGAGAGUAAAUAUGUCAGACCGUUUGGUUUCACCUUAUCAUAGGAGGAAUCAUUGUUUCCUGACAUUAACAGCU